Molecule: ribosomal RNA, 408 nt
Filed under: uncultured bacterium
Lineage: Bacteria
Description: bacterial SSU rRNA
Rfam family: Bacterial small subunit ribosomal RNA
Source: RNAcentral
GAUGAACGCUAGCGGCCGGCUUAACACAUGCAAGUCGAGGGGCAGCGCGAUGUAGCAAUACAUUGGCGGCGACCGGCGCACGGGUGCGUAACACGUAUGGAAUCUGCCCUGUACUGGAAGAUAACCCGGCGAAAGUCGGACUAAUAUCCCAUAAUAGCCGAGGUGGCAUCACCUUGGUUUGAAAGCUCCGGCGGUACAGGAUGACCAUGCGCACGAUUAGCUAGUUGGUGAGGUAACGGCUCACCAAGGCUACGAUCGUUAGGGGGCCUGAGAGGGUUANCCCCCANACUGGUACUGAGACACGGACCAGACUCCUACGGGAGGCAGCAGUGAGGAAUAUGCGCAAUGGAGGCAACUCUGACGCAGCCAUGCCGCGUGCAGGAGAAGGCGCUACGCGUUGUAAACUGC